GGGGAAAUGAAGAAAGGUCUUUUCGGGGUAAUGCACUAUCUAAUGCCUAAGCGCCAAAUUCUCUCUCUACACUCUGGCUGCAAUAUGGGAAAAGAAGGAGAUGUAGCCCUCUUCUUUGGAUUAUCAGGAACUGGGAAGACAACACUGUCUACUGAUCACAACCGGUACCUGAUCGGAGAUGAUGAACACUGCUGGAGUGAUCAUGGUGUCUCAAACAUUGAAGGAGGUUGCUAU
RNAcentral lists this unclassified non-coding RNA (234 nucleotides) under Hevea brasiliensis (rubber tree). Lineage: Eukaryota; Viridiplantae; Streptophyta; Magnoliopsida; Malpighiales; Euphorbiaceae. The record is from RNAcentral.